GACGAACGCUGGCGGCGUGCUUAACACAUGCAAGUCGUACGGUAAGGCCCUUUCGGGGGUACACGAGUGGCGAACGGGUGAGUAACACGUGAGUAACCUGCCCACAACUUUGGGAUAACGCUAGGAAACUGGUGCUAAUACUGGAUAUGUGCUCCUGCUGCAUGGUGGGGGUUGGAAAGCUCCGGCGGUUGUGGAUGGACUCGCGGCCUAUCAGCUUGUUGGUGGGGUAGUGGCCUACCAAGGCGGCGACGGGUAGCCGGCCUGAGAGGGUGACCGGCCACAUUGGGACUGAGAUACGGCCCAGACUCCUACGGGAGGCAGCAGUGGGAAAUAUUGCACAAUGGGCGCAAGCCUGAUGCAGCAACGCCGCGUGCGGGAUGACGGCCUUCGGGUUGGAAACCGCUUUCAGCAGGGACGAAGCUUUUUGUGACGGUACCUGCAGAAGAAGCACCGGCUAACUACGUG
RNAcentral lists this ribosomal RNA (465 nucleotides) under uncultured bacterium. RNAcentral describes it as "partial 16S ribosomal RNA". It matches the Rfam family "Bacterial small subunit ribosomal RNA", at positions 28 to 507 of the family's 1533-position model. The record is from RNAcentral.